UAAAUCCUUAUGACCGAACAUUUUUAAAUUACACAGAUAAAUUUUCUCUCAGGUGUUUAAGAACUUCCCGUCUCUUUUUAUACUUUUUUUUCUCUUUGUCUGUUUCAAUUGUAGAACCCUCUCAGGUUAAGUAUUGGUAAAUAUAUAUAUAUUUUUUAUUGUUAAUAUUAAGUGAAAAUCAAUUUUUUGCUUUGAAAAUAUUGAUUUUCACUUAAUAUUAACUAUUUUAAAAAUAUAUAUUUACCGAUACUUAACCUGGCAGCGAUAAACUUUGUUCAGUUGACUCCAAAGAACUAGAAUUAAAAUAGUUUUUAUUAUAGAUCCACGGUUGAGCAGCAGAACUUCUAGGACGAAUAAACCAGAGAGAAUCAAAUAUCAAAAAAAUUAACAUAGUCACCGAGACUUUAAACUUUAAAUUAAAUACUAGAAAUAGAGGUUAAAAUCUGUUUUUUGUUUGACAUUAAAUUGGAAAAAUGAAAUAAACUGUUUUCCCAUUUUACUAUAUUUCGUUCUUAAUUGAAAUUUAAAAGAACGACUGGUACACGAACCCGACACGGCCUCGUUUAUUUUGAGUUCUGGAAACUUAUUUGGGUUUACGGUUCUCCUUUGCCAGAUAAAAUAAUUAUUAAAAAAAUAAUAGUUUCACUUUCUGUAAAACAAAAAGUGCAAGAUUCUGGACAGAAGUGAAAGUGUCUGUGUCCAAAUCCCCACUCAGUCAUUCUCUGAUAUAAUCAUUUUAAAAGCGACUAUUUUCUUUCCCUUUCGAAACAUGUGUCUUAUUUUUGUGCUGGGGCCCGUGGAUCUUUAAGAAGAGCACAGGGGCCCCAACAUAGAACCACAGUAAGAUUUUAUUAUUGGGUCCAGUGUCCAGUUUAAACCCACCUAAACAUUGUAAAAACAAGAGGAAAGACAAGAGAUUAGAAUCGUUUUCUCAUGAGGAGGGUGGACAGAGAGUGCAUUCACUGUUACAGUCUGGACUCGCUCUGGUGCUCUCUCUGCAUCUCCUCUUUUUAUUGUCUUAGGAGGGUCCCUAGUUACACUGGGUGUGUCGCUCUCAGGGAGAGGGGCUGAAAACAGCAGAAACACCAGACAUACAAAUAUGACAAAUAUGUGUUAACAACAUCAGGUGCAGAUGUUUCCUUUCACUUUCAGACACAACUUUCUCUGUGCAGCCUUGAGAUCGUCUGCUCCCAGACUCCGAGGCCUGAAUCACUGUUGCUCACACAUGACUGCACACAGUUUCCAAGCACAAAAGAUUAUUCAAAUACACAAAGAAUAGUACAUAGCAAAUACAGCAAAUAUGGGAUAAUAUCUACAAUUAUUCUAACAGGUCCAGUCAAGCAGUUAACGGAGGAAACAGGGUCAGAUUUUUGACAUUCAAAUGUCUCUUGUUCAGAAACUAGAGGAACUAUUGAAAUAAGUAAAGUAUCAGAAUGUAGGAAAGAGUUACACUCCAACAGGGUCAAGUUAAACCUGUGAGAUUCUUUCAAGUUCAAGACAAAAAAUUUAAAAACUCAUGUCGGUAACGGAGGGAAUGAAAUAUGCAGCACUUUUUGGUCAAUAAAUCCAAACAGUGAUAACUCUUGGUUCUCACUUCCAUAUCCUUAACAAACUGGUUUGAAUAUUUGCUUCAUAUAGUUUUCUACCAUAUGGUACAAGAUUAGGUUGAAAAACCUCUGACUUUUUGACUCAUGAGAUUUUUUAUUAAGAAAGUUCAUGGUAACGGAGGGAAAAGUAACGGAGGGAAAAUUGUACAAACAAAUAGAAGGUGCAGGAUUUUACAUCAUUUGUUGCUUUUUUCUUCUGAAUAUUUUAAUAUUACUUCAAAAUGAAAGAAACUAUUUCUAUAAAAUAUGUCAGUCCUUCCAAGAACAUUUUUAUCAUUUUAAAUACAUUUUUUAUUUUUUUAAAUCCUGUCCCUUCAUCAACAGUUCAAAGAUGGAAUAACACAAGAUAUGAUGAAAUACAAACAUUUAUUUACAUGAUUUUCAGGUCUUUGAAAUUUGGGAAAUAAUUUUUGUUCCAUGUUUCAUUCAUGGUCUGUUUAAAACGGAUGGAACUUUAGAACCAAAAAUGGUACAGAAAAAAGAUCAACAGUUUGAUAAACUCGAGUACAUAUGUAUCUGUUCAAUACAUUUUUAUAUCAGAUGAAUUAACUUGAAUUUUUGGUCUUGUUGUUUCCUUCUGCUGGACUGGGGCCUGUUGUGGCUGCAGAAGUACAUCCAACGCGGAAAUGACGUCAGGUCUGAUGACUCAUGCUGCAUUUAUGUCCUCUCGGAAAGUGAAGCUCCAACUCCAGUCUUCAAACUUCAACUCGGAAAUAACGGGAAAUGAACGCAGCUCAGGUCGGAAUUUGACCUCGGAGACUCGAAGUGUUGGAGUCCGGAGUUUUCAUCACCGUGACUCAGAGGAAUUCUGUUUUACUUUACACUGAUGUUUUUUCCUGCACAAAUUAAACACAUUCAAGUAAAAUAUAUUUUUAAAAAAGAAACUAUUUUCUAUUUAAUGAAGUAAACUCAGCAACAAAAGCGUCUGAAACGGGCCUCAUUAGUUGAUCCGCAAUUAACCACAAAACUCCGACACCAUUUUAUUUUUAUGCACAAUUUCACAAUGGAUCCGCUUCCUCUGGUUUUCGUGAUCACAUGAAUGCAGCUUCCACUUCUCCACGGCGCAGUUUAGCAGGCCUAAUGUCAUUUUCAGAUAAUGUUUUGCUCGUUUACGGUCGGGCUCAUAGGUUUGGGACUCUGUGUGCUGCCCGCGCUCUGCUGCCAACCCAACGAAUACAGCAGUCCGGACGGACAGUGCUGCCCCAUGUGCCACGAAGGUAAAACCCCCAACCUCUUCCUCCUCCUUCUGUCCUCCUCCUCCUCUUCUCCUCCAGCAGAUCUGAGCCGUGUCCCCACCUGAACCCCGGGGCUUCAGGAUGAGGAAACUCCGGAAACACCGCGCGCCCCAGACUGACCCCCCGCUGCGGUUUACAUUUUUACUGCGAUUAAAAAAACUCAGUGACAGAAAAAAGUCCGUCAGUGAAACCGCAGGAAACAAACACGGGCCUCCUGCUGCUUCUGCUGCUGCUGCUGCGCCAUCUUAGUGCGUCGUCUCUCCCCACACAGGCAUUGAUCAAACUGGACUUUACUGUUGCAACCAUCCGCCCUGACGCUCCAUGACACGUUUGAAAAACUUAAAUUAUUCAUCUUUUUGAAGGACACACAACAACACUCAUGAUCCACAGACAAGAAACACACAAUAUCCACAUUUUACAUUAUUAUUGUGUUUUUAUUCUACUUUGUUUUGUACUUUGACUAGAGACGACUCCAUAAAAAUACAGAGAAUACAAAGUGAAAUCUGUUAAACGGGAACUUCUAGUGCCACAAUAAUCACAAAAGUUUAAUUCUCCCAUGAGCCGUGUCAUGUUCAUGUUAUUGCUGAAGAACGAGGCGUGCUUUGUGUUCAAUAAUUCCUUCUUUUUAAUAUCCCGUAAUGGCGGUGAACUCUCAUGUACAAGUGCUACACCACUUCUGUUAACAACACAUACAGAAAACACUGCGGCGCCCCCGUGUGGCACACGCCAUUAUAGCUACUGAUCAUAACAAGCCGUCAGACUCCUGCACCUGAGUCUGAGUCUGAGGGCAGAUUCAGCUCAGAUCCUGUUCACAAACACAAAGAAGUGUCACCGCACCCAGAGUCAGUGGUGCCAGAGUGUUUUUACAGGAAACAUGUAGUGUGUGUGUGGUUGUGUGUUGUGUAGCUGUUAUAAAAACAAUCAUCCUCAUCGCUGUAAUAGUUUGUCACCGUCACCAUCGAGAGUCUGGAGUCAAUGAAAAAUGUUCUGUCUAAAAAAGCAUUAUGUAAAACAGUGUUACUGAUGUCAGUUUACAUGUUGUUGUUGUUUUUCUGUACAAUAGUUAAUUGUAGAUCUGUGAUCUGCCAGCUGCUGGUGAAGUUUUCCACCAGCUCUUUUGCACUUUUUGAAGUAGCAGUGAAAAUGUUACAAAAAUACUCAGGUAUAAGUGUCCUUGUUAUAUUCAACACACACAAAUGAGAUAAUUUAUUUAUACAGUGGUUUGAUUCACUGUCCCUUUGUCCACUGCAUUAACAGUAUUUAAAUACUAAAAUGAAAUUUUAAUUAAAUGAAUGAAAGAAAAGUAUAUGUCGUCUAUUCAAAUAACAUUUUCAUAGAAUUGUACUUCUGAGUAAAUUAAAAUGAAACUUAACUCUA
Long non-coding RNA from Boleophthalmus pectinirostris (great blue-spotted mudskipper), 4219 nucleotides. RefSeq lists it as uncharacterized. The transcript has 2 exons. Lineage: Eukaryota; Metazoa; Chordata; Actinopteri; Gobiiformes; Gobiidae. The record is from RefSeq and is a predicted model, not a curated record.